GGGCCAGGGGGUCUGGUUUUAUAGUCCCCUCAAGUGAACGUCAGCCAUUGGAUCAAACCGACAUUGAUUGGACGGUUAUCCUUGAUCCUUUAGGUCAGUGGAGCGUCGUCCGCGAAAAGAGUCCCGAACCAAGUCCAAGAGGGGAAGGGCGCCCAGGUCAACUGGGCGGGCGCCCAGUGCCUGGCCCCGUUCGGCCUCCGCUUCCUUCCCGUGGCUUCUGGAGUCUUCUAGAUGGUAGAAAAUUGCGCGGUGCGUUGAUAUCUCUAUGUAAUCCCGACAUGUGGGCCUUUCUUCCUUAUUUCCUGAUAACCCCCUGCAGAAACAGAUAAACAACAAAACUCGUGGAAUUCUGUCAGAUUAAACCCUAAUUCUAGGUGUUGUUUGCAUAUUGGUCCUUUCUCUUAUUUAUUUGAUAAUUAAAAUUGAUACUUAAGAACCGUCAACAAAUACCCCCAUACUUAGGCUUUUACUCGUCCUCGAGAAAAGGAUGGUUAAGAACAAUAUCUGGGGUAAAACAUUUUAAAACAUUCUCUUCAUAACUGCAGGGUGUUAAAAUCCACUGUGUACUGUAGUCAGGGAAGUAAAGAUCCUUUCUUCUCAAUCCUGUCACUUGGAGUUUUUUUAUAUUUUUGAAAACAAAGUUAGCAUACCUUUAUCCUCAUAGGUUCUCUUAGAUCACUCAUUUAUCUUUUAUAUCUCACUGAGGCUGUUUUAAUUUGCAAAAAUUCUCAAGCAUACUUACCUUGUAUUUAUUGCCUGAUCAAAAUAGGAUCCGAGGAGGGGAAUGUCAUACUCUUAGAUCAAAGACUUUGGAAAUUAAAAUCUUUGUCGACUCUUGCUGGCAUAUUGCUUAUUAGAGGGACCAUGGGCUAUCUUUUUCUUUUUCUUCUUCUUUUUUUAAGUGGAUACCGAAGUACCCCUAAUUCUACUGCCGGACACAUGUCCAUUUUUUCUGCGAGGUUAUCGAGCACUUGCUCCUUUUUAUUUCCUCGAAAUAUCUUUAUUUUUGCAUAGCCCAUGCCUCUAAUGCAAUAAUACUUCGAAAGAGUGAAUCUUUCUGAAUAGAUGUCUUGAUCUUAGGAGCAUGAUAAAUCUCUCAACAAGGGUCUAACUCAUUUUGAACAAACUCAAUACAGAGUAGAUAGCUUUUAUAAUCAUAAUUAAUAUUUUCAGUUUUAUCUCGCAUAUAAAACACUGAGGAUGGUAGCUAGAAUUUUGAAGAUUUUGAAAUAAAUUCUCCAAGUAACAAUGAUAUCAAGAAUAAGAAACUCAUACUCUACCAUCUCACAUUCCAUAAUGACUUAAGUAACACAGGGUUUUUAAAAUGAUUUUCAAUAAUUUGUAGUUUCAAGGAGAUAUCAUGAUUUGUAACAUUUUAAUCUUUUUAAUUUAUCAUGUUGGAAACAAUAUUCUGCAAAAUCUAAGAUAUAUAUGAGCAUGUGUAAAAUGUGCAGAGUGUGUACCUGAAAAAUGGAGUGGUGUAGUCGAAGUGUGUUUGGCAUGUCG
RNAcentral lists this long non-coding RNA (1506 nucleotides) under Sorghum bicolor (sorghum). Its description in RNAcentral is "long non-coding RNA (SBIC_LNC008423)". The record is from RNAcentral. Lineage: Eukaryota; Viridiplantae; Streptophyta; Magnoliopsida; Poales; Poaceae.